AUACGGGGGGUGCAAGCGUUAAUCGGAAUUACUGGGCGUAAAGCGCGCGUAGGCGGUUAAAUAAGUUGGAUGUGAAAUCCCCGGGCUCAACCUGGGAACUGCAUUCAAAACUGUUCAACUAGAGUAUGGUAGAGGGAAGUGGAAUUCCAGGUGUAGCGGUGAAAUGCGUAGAUAUCUGGAGGAACAUCAGUGGCGAAGGCGACUUCCUGGAUCAAUACUGACGCUGAGGUGCGAAAGCGUGGGGAGCAAACAGGAUUAGAAACCCCGGUAGUCC
This 274-nucleotide ribosomal RNA is filed under the name uncultured bacterium. RNAcentral describes it as "partial 16S ribosomal RNA". It matches the Rfam family "Bacterial small subunit ribosomal RNA", at positions 523 to 796 of the family's 1533-position model. The record is from RNAcentral.